GAAAUGCGAUACUUGGUGUGAAUUGCAGAAUCCCGUGAACCAUCGAGUCUUUGAACGCAAGUUGCGCCCGAAGCCGCCAGGCCGAGGGCACGCCUGCCUGGGCGUCACACGCCGUUGCCCCCCCCAGCGCCUUCCUCGGGAGCGUCGGGGGAGCGGACGAUGGCCUCCCGUGCGACACCCCGCGCGGUUGGCACAAAUGCCGGGUCCUCGGCGACGAACGCCACGACAAUCGGUGGUCGUCAAACCUCGGUUGCCCGUUGUGCGCCUUCGUCGCGCCACGAGCGGCUCGCGAUAGCGAACGGCUCCGUUCCGGCAGAGCUUUCAACGCGACCCCAGGUCAGGCGGGGUCACCCGCUGAAUUUAA
This 364-nucleotide unclassified non-coding RNA is filed under the name uncultured fungus. RNAcentral's name for it is "sequence contains ITS1". The stretch from base 1 to 107 matches the Rfam family "5.8S ribosomal RNA", at positions 50 to 154 of the family's 154-position model. The record is from RNAcentral. Lineage: Eukaryota; Fungi.